UACGUAGGUGGCGAGCGUUGUCCGGAUUUAUUGGGUUUAAAGGGUGCGUAGGCGGACUGUCAAGUCAGCGGUAAAAUUGAGAGGCUCAACCUCUUCCCGCCGUUGAAACUGGUGGUCUUGAGUGGAUGAGAAGUACGCGGAAUGCGUGGUGUAGCGGUGAAAUGCAUAGAUAUCACGCAGAACUCCGAUUGCGAAGGCAGCGUACCGGCAUCCAACUGACGCUGAGGCACGAAAGCGCGGGGAUCGAACAGG
This 252-nucleotide ribosomal RNA is filed under the name uncultured bacterium. RNAcentral describes it as "partial 16S ribosomal RNA". It matches the Rfam family "Bacterial small subunit ribosomal RNA", at positions 524 to 776 of the family's 1533-position model. The record is from RNAcentral.